Long non-coding RNA from Pipistrellus kuhlii (Kuhl's pipistrelle), 145 nucleotides. RefSeq lists it as uncharacterized. The record is from RefSeq and is a predicted model, not a curated record. Lineage: Eukaryota; Metazoa; Chordata; Mammalia; Chiroptera; Vespertilionidae. The transcript has 2 exons.
GGGAAGUCUCAUAUGUUCAGUUAUAUUUAGAUUCACUUCCUUAGAUUUUUGAAUGUAGAAGUAAGAUGCUACAAAUACCUAUAAGGUUAUUCAAGUAUCUAGGUAAUUGAUUAAAUUAGAAAGGCAAGGAACACAGGGAGACUUG